RNAcentral lists this ribosomal RNA (406 nucleotides) under uncultured bacterium. RNAcentral describes it as "partial 16S ribosomal RNA". It matches the Rfam family "Bacterial small subunit ribosomal RNA", at positions 28 to 526 of the family's 1533-position model. The record is from RNAcentral.
GAUGAACGCUAGCGACAGGCUUAACACAUGCAAGUCGAGGGACCGGCGCACGGGUGAGUAACACGUAUCCAACCUGCCCUUUACUCGGGGAUAGCCUUUCGAAAGAAAGAUCAAUACCCGAUAUAAAGGAUGGGGAUGCGUUCCAUUAGGUUGUUGGUGAGGUAACGGCCCACCAAGCCUUCGAUGGAUAGGGGGUCUGAGAGGAAGGUCCCCCACAUUGGAACUGCGGCACGGUCCACACUCCUACGGGAGGCAGCAGUGAGGAAUAUUGGUCAAUCGGCGGUAGCCUGAACCAGCCAAGUAGCGUGAAGGAUGAAGGCUUAUGGGUCGUAAACUUCUUUUAUAUAAGAAUAUGUAUUAUAUGAAUAAGGAUCGGCUAACUCCGUGCCAGCCGCCGCGGUAAUUC